RNAcentral lists this ribosomal RNA (349 nucleotides) under uncultured Sphingomonas sp. RNAcentral's name for it is "bacterial SSU rRNA". It matches the Rfam family "Bacterial small subunit ribosomal RNA", at positions 82 to 448 of the family's 1533-position model. Lineage: Bacteria; Pseudomonadati; Pseudomonadota; Alphaproteobacteria; Sphingomonadales; Sphingomonadaceae. The record is from RNAcentral.
AUCUUCGGAUCUAGUGGCGCACGGGUGCGUAACGCGUGGGAAUCUGCCCUUGGGUUCGGAAUAACGUCGGGAAACUGACGCUAAUACCGGAUGAUGACGAAAGUCCAAAGAUUUAUCGCCCAGGGAUGAGCCCGCGUAGGAUUAGCUAGUUGGUGAGGUAAAGGCUCACCAAGGCUACGAUCCUUAGCUGGUCUGAGAGGAUGAUCAGCCACACUGGGACUGAGACACGGCCCAGACUCCUACGGGAGGCAGCAGUAGGGAAUAUUGGACAAUGGGGGCAACCCUGAUCCAGCAAUGCCGCGUGAGUGAUGAAGGCCUUAGGGUUGUAAAGCUCUUUUACCCGAGAUGA